CAACUUUCAACAAUGGAUCUCUUGGCUCUCGCAUCGAUGAAGAACGCAGCGAAAUGCGAUACGUAAUGUGAAUUGCAGAAUUCCGUGAAUCAUUGAAUCUUUGAACGCACCUUGCGCCCCUUGGUAUUCCGAGAGGCAUGCCUGUUUGAGUGUCAU
RNAcentral lists this ribosomal RNA (156 nucleotides) under Hygrocybe miniata. RNAcentral describes it as "5.8S ribosomal RNA". It matches the Rfam family "5.8S ribosomal RNA". From Rfam's summary of the family: 5.8S ribosomal RNA (5.8S rRNA) is a component of the large subunit of the eukaryotic ribosome. It is transcribed by RNA polymerase I as part of the 45S precursor that also contains 18S and 28S rRNA. Lineage: Eukaryota; Fungi; Basidiomycota; Agaricomycetes; Agaricales; Hygrophoraceae. The record is from RNAcentral.